This 120-nucleotide transfer RNA is filed under the name Deinococcus arboris. It matches the Rfam family "tRNA". Rfam says of the family: Transfer RNA (tRNA) molecules are approximately 80 nucleotides in length. Their secondary structure includes four short double-helical elements and three loops (D, anti-codon, and T loops). The record is from Rfam by way of RNAcentral. Lineage: Bacteria; Thermotogati; Deinococcota; Deinococci; Deinococcales; Deinococcaceae.
GGAACGGUAGCUCAGUGGAGAGAGCACUUGCCAGCGCCGCACCUUGCCCUCUAGGGCCGAUGGCACCUGGCUUAUCGACUGUUAAUCGAGAGGUCGUGGGUUCGACUCCCACCCGUUCCA